This 253-nucleotide ribosomal RNA is filed under the name uncultured bacterium. Its description in RNAcentral is "partial 16S ribosomal RNA". It matches the Rfam family "Bacterial small subunit ribosomal RNA", at positions 524 to 776 of the family's 1533-position model. The record is from RNAcentral.
CACGUAGGGUGCGAGCGUUGUCCGGAAUUAUUGGGCGUAAAGAGCUCGUAGGCGGUGUGUCGCGUCGGCCGUGAAAACCUGCAGCUUAACUGUGGGCGUGCGGUCGAUACGGGCAGGCUGGAGUACUGCAGGGGAGACUGGAAUUCCUGGUGUAGCGGUGGAAUGCGCAGAUAUCAGGAGGAACACCGGUGGCGAAGGCGGGUCUCUGGGCAGUAACUGACGCUGAGGAGCGAAAGCGUGGGGAGCGAACAGG